ACUUCUACUUAACCUAGUCGAUUAUGGUGGGCAAUUACUAAAUUUUGCUGGGCAACUGCUACUGUACCUAGUAAAUUUUGGUGGACGACUACUAAAUUUCGCUUGGCAACUGCUACUGUACCUGAUAGAAUUUUUUGGGCAACUGCUAUUGAACCUGAUCAACUUUGGUAAGGAACUGCUACCGAAGUUGGUAAAUUUUGGUGGGCAACUACUCAAUUUUGUUGGGCAACUGUUACUGAACUUAGUAAAUUUUGGAGGAC
Molecule: long non-coding RNA, 260 nt
Filed under: Capsicum annuum
Lineage: Eukaryota; Viridiplantae; Streptophyta; Magnoliopsida; Solanales; Solanaceae
Description: long non-coding RNA (CANN_LNC018062)
Source: RNAcentral